GACUACAGGGCCCAAUGGAUAAGGUGCUGGUUUAUGAAACCAGGUACUCUGGGUUCGAUCCACAGUGGAUUCG
Molecule: transfer RNA, 73 nt
Organism: Ipomoea nil (Japanese morning glory)
Lineage: Eukaryota; Viridiplantae; Streptophyta; Magnoliopsida; Solanales; Convolvulaceae
Rfam family: tRNA
About the family: Transfer RNA (tRNA) molecules are approximately 80 nucleotides in length. Their secondary structure includes four short double-helical elements and three loops (D, anti-codon, and T loops).
Source: Rfam